Molecule: ribosomal RNA, 478 nt
Filed under: Eimeria alabamensis
Lineage: Eukaryota; Apicomplexa; Conoidasida; Eucoccidiorida; Eimeriidae
Description: SSU rRNA
Rfam family: Eukaryotic small subunit ribosomal RNA
Source: RNAcentral
UGGUUAAUUUCGAUAACGAACGAGACCUUAGCCUGCUAAAUAGGAUCGGGAACCUCGGUUCUCGCAUCACUUCUUAGAGGGACUUUGCGUGUCUAACGCAAGGAAGUUUGAGGCAAUAACAGGUCUGUGAUGCCCUUAGAUGUUCUGGGCUGCACGCGCGCUACACUGAUGCAUGCAACGAGUUUUUGACCUUGGCCGGAAGGUCUAGGUAAUCUUUUGAGUAUGCAUCGUGAUGGGGAUAGAUUAUUGCAAUUAUUAAUCUUCAACGAGGAAUGCCUAGUAGGCGCAAGUCAGCAGCUUGUGCCGAUUACGUCCCUGCCCUUUGUACACACCGCCCGUCGCUGCAACCGAUCGAAGGGUCCUGUGAACUCGAUGGACAGCCCAUCCCCUUCUUGGGGUUGGGCUGGAAGUUGCGUAAAUAGAGCCCUUUAAAGGAUGCAAAAGUCGUAGCACGGUUUCCGUAGGUGAACCUGCGGAA